CGCGUAGGUGGUUCGUUAAGUUGGAUGUGAAAGCCCCGGGCUCAACCUGGGAACUGCAUCCAAAACUGGCGAGCUAGAGUAUGGCAGAGGGUGGUGGAAUUUCCUGUGUAGCGGUGAAAUGCGUAGAUAUAGGAAGGAACACCAGUGGCGAAGGCGACCACCUGGGCUAAUACUGACACUGAGGUGCGAAAGCGUGGGGAGCAAACAGGAUUAGAUACCCGCGUA
Molecule: ribosomal RNA, 225 nt
Filed under: uncultured Pseudomonas sp.
Lineage: Bacteria; Pseudomonadati; Pseudomonadota; Gammaproteobacteria; Pseudomonadales; Pseudomonadaceae
Description: partial 16S ribosomal RNA
Rfam family: Bacterial small subunit ribosomal RNA
Source: RNAcentral